RNAcentral lists this microRNA (24 nucleotides) under Triops cancriformis. RNAcentral's name for it is "tcf-miR-10353". The record is from miRBase by way of RNAcentral. Lineage: Eukaryota; Metazoa; Arthropoda; Branchiopoda; Notostraca; Triopsidae.
UCCGAGAUCCGUCGAACUGGGAUC